ACGAACGCUGGCGGCGUGCUUAACACAUGCAAGUCGAACGGAAAGGCCCUUCGGGGUACUCGAGUGGCGAACGGGUGAGUAACACGUGGGUGAUCUGCCCUGCACUUUGGGAUAAGCCUGGGAAACUGGGUCUAAUACCGAAUAUGACCAUGCACUUCCUGGUGUGUGGUGGAAAGCUUUUGCGGUGUGGGAUGGGCCCGCGGCCUAUCAGCUUGUUGGUGGGGUAAUGGCCUACCAAGGCGACGACGGGUAGCCGGCCUGAGAGGGUGACCGGCCACACUGGGACUGAGAUACGGCCCAGACUCCUACGGGAGGCAGCAGUGGGGAAUAUUGCACAAUGGGCGCAAGCCUGAUGCAGCGACGCCGCGUGAGGGAUGACGGCCUUCGGGUUGUAAACCUCUUUCAGCACAGACGAAGCGCAAGUGACGGUAUGUGCAGAAGAAGGACCGGCCAACUACGUGCCAGCAGCCGCGGUAAUACGUAGGGUCCGAGCGUUGUCCGGAAUUACUGGGCGUAAAGAGCUCGUAGGUGGUUUGUCGCGUUGUUCGUGAAAACUCACAGCUUAACUGUGGGCGUGCGGGCGAUACGGGCAGACUUGAGUACUGCAGGGGAGACUGGAAUUCCUGGUGUAGCGGUGGAAUGCGCAGAUAUCAGGAGGAACACCGGUGGCGAAGGCGGGUCUCUGGGCAGUAACUGACGCUGAGGAGCGAAAGCGUGGGGAGCGAACAGGAUUAGAUACCCUGGUAGUCCACGCCGUAAACGGUGGGUACUAGGUGUGGGUUUCCUUCCUUGGGAUCCGUGCCGUAGCUAACGCAUUAAGUACCCCGCCUGGGGAGUACGGCCGCAAGGCUAAAACUCAAAGAAAUUGACGGGGGCCCCGCACAAGCGGCGGAGCAUGUGGAUUAAUUCGAUGCAACGCGAAGAAC
This 926-nucleotide ribosomal RNA is filed under the name Mycolicibacterium frederiksbergense. RNAcentral's name for it is "bacterial SSU rRNA". It matches the Rfam family "Bacterial small subunit ribosomal RNA", at positions 29 to 969 of the family's 1533-position model. Lineage: Bacteria; Bacillati; Actinomycetota; Actinomycetes; Mycobacteriales; Mycobacteriaceae. The record is from RNAcentral.